This 372-nucleotide ribosomal RNA is filed under the name uncultured organism. RNAcentral describes it as "bacterial SSU rRNA". It matches the Rfam family "Bacterial small subunit ribosomal RNA", at positions 526 to 896 of the family's 1533-position model. The record is from RNAcentral.
CAGAGGGGGCAAGCGUUAUUCGGAAUUAUUGGGCGUAAAGGGCGCGUAGGCGGCCUGACAAGUGAAAGGUGAAAUCCCUCGGCUUAACCGAGGAACUGCCUUUCAGACUGUUUGGCUUGAGACCGGGAGAGGUGAGUGGAAUUCCCAGUGUAGCGGUGAAAUGCGUAGAUAUUGGGAGGAACACCAGUGGCGAAGGCGGCUCACUGGACCGGUACUGACGCUGAGGCGCGAAAGCGUGGGGAGCAAACGGGAUUAGAUACCCCGGUAGUCCACGCCGUAAACGAUGAGUGCUUGGUGUAGCGGGUAUCGACCCCUGCUGUGCCGAAGUCAACACAUUAAGCACUCCGCCUGGGGAGUACGGUCGCAAGGCUG